Long non-coding RNA from Arabidopsis lyrata subsp. lyrata, 463 nucleotides. RefSeq lists it as uncharacterized. Lineage: Eukaryota; Viridiplantae; Streptophyta; Magnoliopsida; Brassicales; Brassicaceae. The transcript is spliced from 2 exons. The record is from RefSeq and is a predicted model, not a curated record.
AAGCUUUUUUUGAAAAAAAAAAGAAACAACUUUGGAAAGCUUUCUUAAGGACCUCAUGAAGCUUUUACUUCUUUUGCAGUACAUGAUUGUCAGCUCGUGGCCAAUAAUAAUAUACCCCUCGACCUCGAGAAACUGGCGAUUCACGACGAAUCUGCUGGGACAAAUUGCAUAUGUCACUGGAGAAGCUACAACAGAUUCGGAUACUGAGAAACGGUUGGAAAAGAAGAUUGGUCGUAAACUUUCAAGUAGACCAUCUGAGGAAUUACCCUACGGUAACUAAUGGCUUCUAGGUUUGGCCAAUUGAUUGCUUGUUCGACAAAACCGUUUGUUAGCGGUUGUUUUCGGUUACUAUUUUAUACGUACGAUCGAGAUACUAAGAGGUAAUGUAUAUGAUGGAUUUGAGUAGUGAAACGUAGUAAAAAGCUAAGCAAUACAUAAUUGGUGAGGCUAUCCAUUAUCCAAA